AUUGAACGCUGGCGGCAGGCCUAACACAUGCAAGUCGAGCGGAUGAAGGGAGCUUGCUCCUGGAUUCAGCGGCGGACGGGGGAGUAAUGCCUAGGAAUCUGCCUGGUAGUGGGGGAUAACGUCCGGAAACGGGCGCGAAUACUGCAUACGUCCUGAGGGAGAAAGUGGGGGAGCUUCGGACCUCACGCGAUCAGAUGAGCCGAGGUCGGAUUAGCUAGUUGGUGGGGUAAAGGCCUACCAAGUCGACGAUCCGUAAGUGGUCUGAGAGGAUGAUCACUCACAUGGGAGCUUGGCCACGCUCCAGGCUCCUACGGGAGGGACCAGUGGGCAACGUUGGGCAGUGGUCGGGAGUCUGGUCCAGCCGUCCCGCGUGUGUGGAGGAGGUCUUCGGAUUGUAAUGCACUUUAACUUGUGAGGAAGCGCAUUAAGUUAAUACCUUGCUGUUUUGACGUUACCGACAGAAUAAGCACCGGCUAACUUCGUG
RNAcentral lists this ribosomal RNA (484 nucleotides) under uncultured bacterium. Its description in RNAcentral is "partial 16S ribosomal RNA". It matches the Rfam family "Bacterial small subunit ribosomal RNA", at positions 30 to 507 of the family's 1533-position model. The record is from RNAcentral.